UACAGAGGUCUCAAGCGUUGUUCGGAUUCAUUGGGCGUAAAGGGUGCGUAGGCGGCGCUGUAAGUCGGGUGUGAAAUUUCGGAGCUUAACUCCGAAACUGCAUUCGAUACUGCGGUGCUUGAGGACUGGAGAGGAGACUGGAAUUCAUGGUGUAGCAGUGAAAUGCGUAGAGAUCAUGAGGAAGACCAGUGGCGAAGGCGGGUCUCUGGACAGUUCCUGACGCUGAGGCACGAAGGCCAGGGGAGCAAACGGG
Molecule: ribosomal RNA, 253 nt
Filed under: uncultured bacterium
Lineage: Bacteria
Description: partial 16S ribosomal RNA
Rfam family: Bacterial small subunit ribosomal RNA
Source: RNAcentral